AGGCCACUGAAGCAAAUCCAGAGAGAUUGAGAUAGAAGGCAGAGUAGUAUCUAAGAUUCAUUUGCUUACGGUGCUACUUUUUCCAUUGUUGUUUUGGCUUCCUAGGAAAUAAUUUCAGGAUGUUUUUUAGCUGAAACUGAAGGCUGAGACUGAAAACACUAAGAAGGGGCACUGUUUAGAAGAAAUCAGAAAGCAACAACCUAAACUGAAGAGGACAGGCAAGGAACAAAGGCAGAUCCAUGAAAGCAUGAGGUGGCUCUUAGGAAACAGCUGGAAGAAAUUUGGACAUGCGGACAGAGGAAACUAUGACUGGUUAACAAGUGAACCAGGUGUGCCAUUGCUGGAAACACAGCUACAGAGUCAGCACAAAGUAAGUUCAACCAAAGAGGAUAUAGAGCCAUUCUUAUGCAUUAUCUUGCCAGCUACCAUGAUGCUCUUCCUGGCAUUCCUGCUGCUUUUCCUCUACAGGCGCUGCCAGCGUCACAAUCCUCAGGCUCAGAUCUUCAGCAUUGAUCUCCCAGAGUCCCAUCCAGAGCAUGAGGUGACAGAUUUUCUCUCAGUACUGCCCUGGAGCAGUGAGCAAAACUUUCAAUACUCCACUCUUCUUCCUGAAACUGCCUUUCUUACUGUAUGUUUGCCUCCGUCCUACGAGGAAGCCACUAUGAAAGCUUCAGUAGCAGAAGAGGAGCAUAUUCAGUUCUUCCAGGAUCCAGUGCCUCCUUAUGAAGAGACCAAACAAUAACACUUCUGAGUCCAGGUUCUCAUAGUGUGAUAAGUUUAAAGCAAGAAAGAUCCAAACAAGGUACCACCUGCAAUCAAAAAAAGAAACUUUCACUGCUUAUUAUAUCUACAGAUAUCAUUUUCAAAUGAUAUAGAAAACAAAGUAACUCUACCACAUUAUUAUGUAGGAUCAGAGAAAACUAUAAAAUUAAUAUUGUACCUCAGACUUUUCUGCACUACAUGUCAUUCAAGUUGUUUCAGAAGACUAAAUCUAAGUAAUACAGUAAAAAAAGAAGAAGCUAUACUGGAGAUAUCACGCACACCCCCUACUGAAAGGGCUUAACAGUUUUCUGGGUUUUUUAAAAAUGCACUAAUUUAAGGAAUUUAAAGAAAUAUUCUUAGGAUGUCAAAAUAUAGAUUGUGCAAAUUCAGUUAAGAUAAAUCUGAAAUGUGAAUUUUUUGUAAUUAUAAAAUGAAGCUUUCUUCUACGGCUAGACACAGAAAUAAGCAUCACUUUAUUAUUUAAAAUUAUAAUUUUAAAGAAAAUAAAGACUAGUAGCUAUGUACA
Molecule: long non-coding RNA, 1288 nt
Filed under: Salvator merianae (Argentine black and white tegu)
Lineage: Eukaryota; Metazoa; Chordata; Lepidosauria; Squamata; Teiidae
Description: lncRNA (ENSSMRG00000001200.1)
Source: RNAcentral